Macaca fascicularis (crab-eating macaque) is the source of this 1514-nucleotide long non-coding RNA. Lineage: Eukaryota; Metazoa; Chordata; Mammalia; Primates; Cercopithecidae. The record is from Ensembl.
GGGAUCCAGCAUAAGAAUUCCAGGCAGCCAGACCUCUCAGGUCUCAUCUCCUGCAAUGUCCUGACUUUUCUUCUGUCUUCUGCUCUGACCCAUCCAUUCUCCAACCGGCAGCCAGAGUUGUCUUUUUCCAGAGUGAGCUAGAUGACGCCUUCCAUGACUCAAAGCCCUUCAAGGGGCUGUCUGUUGACCUUCGAAUAGAACCUGCUGUCUUCACCAAGGCCAACAGGCCCCACAUGAUCCAGUCCUUGCCCACCUCUCUUCCCUUGGCUGGACCGGCCAUUCCCCAGCAUUCUGCUCUCCAGAUCACCAUGGCCCUUCCUAGACCAUCCAAGGUCCUGCCUCCCCUGGGGGCCUUUGCUCCACCCGAGAGACCGCACCCUAAACUCCCAUGAGGUGGCUUCUUUAGGUUCCAGGAGGGGCCUCCUUGACCACUUUCACCCUAAGUCAGUCUUCAUUUUUAUAUCCUUCCAAGCAGCCUGUCAUGAGCUAUAAUUAUCAUAAUCUGUAAGUUACAUGUUUAUUUACUGAUGUGUCUCCCUUCAUUAAACUGAGAGCUCUAGGCAGGCAAACAUCAUGUCAAAUUCACUGUAGUGUCCCCAGCUCCCAGCUUGGGGCCAGACUGUAGUGUGUGUUUGUUGACUGACUGAGUAACCCAGACUCACUGGAAUGUAUCUGGAGCAGGGUGAGCAAGGUGGCCUGAAAAUGACCUGAAUCCUCUAUCAUGCUUGACAGAUUGGAACAUGCCCAGCUUGGAGGCAGAGAGUGAAUAGGACUGUGAGCCUUACCCUCAGAUAUCCCUAGUCCUGUUCUGUGGGUGAGGAAUGGACCCUUCUGUGAUUCCCCUGGCCAGUGGAAGGAGUAUUAGCAAGAUGCUCAGCUGCUGAACCCAAUAAUUUGGUACCAGUCAUACUUGACUGCAGGGGGACAGCAGUCUUGGAAAGCGGGUAGUGUCUCAUCUUUGCUGGAAGGUUCCAGUGGAGGUGAUAAAACAGCAUGUGCAUGGAAUACUGUUCAGACUUAAAAUGAAAGAAUUUCUGACACUUGCUACAACAUGGAUGAACCCUGAGGACAUGGGGCUAAGUGAAAUAAGCCAGACACAAAAGGAAAAAUACUGCAUGGCUCCACUUAAAAGAGGCACCUAGAGGAGUUUAAUUCAUAGAAACAGAGAGUAGGGCGGUGGUUGCCAGGGGCUGGAGGAAGCAGGGAAGGUGGAGCUAUUGCUUGAUGGAAACAGUGUUUCAUUUUGGGGGGAUGAAAAUGUUUGGGAGGUGGAUAGAGGUGAUGGUUGCACGAGGAUGUGAAUGUGGUUAAUGCCACUGAAUUGCGUACUUAAAAAUGGUUAAAAUGAUAAAAUUUAUGUUGUGUCUAUUUUAGCACAGUAACAAACAAAUGAAAAACCCAACCCUUGGCUGCAGUGUGAGAAAUCACGUGCCACUGUGGGUGUUUGGACCCAGUGACUUUAAAGGUGCCCUUCAACUCCAGGGUGUUCAGUUCUGCAAAAAAAAAAAAAAAAA